This 1052-nucleotide ribosomal RNA is filed under the name uncultured soil eukaryote. Its description in RNAcentral is "SSU rRNA". It matches the Rfam family "Eukaryotic small subunit ribosomal RNA", at positions 198 to 1199 of the family's 1831-position model. The record is from RNAcentral.
CGCGCGCACUUGCUAGAUACCAACUCACCAACCGGGGCAACCCGUGCCGGUGACUCAUAGCAAUUGAGGCGAACCGCAUUGAUCGCCGCAAGGCGGGCGGUGAACCAAUCGAGUCUCUGCCCUAUCAGCUUCCGUCGGUACGGUAUUGGCCUACCGAGGCUGCCACGGGUAACGGGGAAUUAGGGUUCGAUUCCGGAGAGGGAGCCUGAGAAAUGGCUACCACAUCCAAGGAAGGCAGCAGGCGCGCAAAUUACCCAAUCCCAAUGCGGGGAGGUAGUGACGAGAUAUAACUGUUGGGGGCUUCGGCCUUCAAACGGGAAUGAGUACAAUGCAAAAGCCUUAACGAGUAUCGAUUGGAGGGCAAGUCUGGUGCCAGCAGCCGCGGUAACACCAGCUCCAAUAGCGUACGCUAACGUUGUUGCACUUAAAAAGCUCGUAGUCCGAUGUGCGGUGGUUUGCCCUGUUUCACUGGGCUCCCCGCGUCCGCGCCCUCGUGGUGCGGCCGGGGGUCAAAGCCCGCAGGGCGAUCAUCUUGGACCGAUGCCGCGGCGCGAGCCGCGGCGGUUCCUGUGAGCAAAUCAGAGUGUUCCAAGCAGGCGACGUGUCGCCCUGCAUGGUCUAGCAUGGAAUAACAGAGCGGGACUCUGGCUGCACUCGCGUGGCGCCCCGAUCAAAAGGGGCGCGCUCUUGUUGGUGAAGCCGGCCGGAGGACAUGGUUAAUAGGGACGGUUGGGGGCAUCCGUACUGCGGCGUCAGAGGUGAAAUUCUAGGAUUGCCGCAAGACGAACGACUGCGAAAGCAUUUGCCAAGGACGUUCCCAUUGAUCAAGAACGAAAGCCAGGGGCUCGAAGACGAUUAGACACCGUCCUAGUCCUGGCCAUAAACUAUGCCGACUGGGGAUUGGAGAACGUUUCCUUUCACAUGACUCCUCCAGCACCCUGCGCGGGAAACCAAAGUGUGUGGGCUGUGGGGGGAGUAUGGUCGCAAGACUGAAACUUAAAGAAAUUGACGGAGGGGCACCACCAGGAGUGGAGCCUGCGGCUUAAUUGGAC